This is a long non-coding RNA of Xenopus laevis (African clawed frog), 1297 nucleotides long. RefSeq lists it as uncharacterized. The transcript has 4 exons. Lineage: Eukaryota; Metazoa; Chordata; Amphibia; Anura; Pipidae. The record is from RefSeq and is a predicted model, not a curated record.
UCUCACUAACGCUUCUCAUUUUAACCUUCACUUCAUGUUCCCGCCAGUGAUUAGCGCGUUACUGCGCAUGUGUAACAGCCGGUCCCUGCGUGUGUGAACUGAUCCUGCCGUCUGGCUUAUUACUGCGCAUGCGUCUCACCCCUGCACAUGCGCACUGACUAUUUGCCGACACCUGUGGAAGGAAGAGUUGUACAGAAAGCGGGAAGCAGUCCGACUCUGCAUGUGUGUGAUAUGGGAACUGCUGGACAUUAUGCCGCCUCUGCUGUGUAUUAUUUCUUCAGUUCAGUCCCUUGCACAGCAACUGCAAUUCACUCAUUUCUCACACUGACACACGUCGCCUCAUUUUGACUGACUGAAGAAAACCUGUGUGAUCACCUGCAUUACCUGUCCUGCCCAUGUUGUACAUCCAGGUAUUUGUCAAUCGAAGGCUGAUUCCCGACUCCAUGAAGAGAGAAUGGAGGGAGACAGAUGGUACACACUAAGAGGAUUAUAUUUAGAAAGUUUCUUAUUUCGUGUAGAGAGAUGGUUUCACCUCCAAACACAACCCACCUGUCUCUGUGGUACUGGGAUUGCUAAAUCCAACCUGGUGUUUUAUGUCCGACAUCGGCAGCGCAAGAUCCAGUGAAGAAAACCAGUCUGGGGAAAAGACACGGGAAAACUCUAUUUCUGAGCUGAACCAGAGACACUGGGAUGCAAUAAGGCAUCCGAUUCCACUUCUGCUGGUAGGUUGUGCCAUGUUUCUAAAACAACAGCAACAGUUACUGUUCCAUUCGUGCUGCAAGUGUCAGAAUAUAUUGUGGGAUUUUCCUUGGCAACUACUUUGCUCUAUUUAUGUCCCGUUUAACAGCUGUGGAAGGAUUUCCCCGUUCCUGUCCUCUAUCCCAGAAUGCCCUGUCCCCCUGGCUGGUCUGUAUAAUCCUGCGACACAAAGGCAUGGCCUGGGCAAGUCUAUAGGGAGUCUGGGUAAGACCUGACUUGGAAAGGAUCCCAAAAUAAAUGCAACCCUUGGCUGUUCUGCUAAAAGCCCUUUCCCUGACUUUCCUUCUUCCAACUUGUAGUAACCCAACACCCUUCUGUUACUCUAUCUUGUCUCUGGGCUGCUGCUCAUUUAACCCUCACACUGCCUUACUAAUCCCUAAACUAUAAACUGGAAACCUCUAAACUGCCUGUUGUCUGUGCCAGCAAAGUUCUAUUCAUGUCCAACAGUCUCCAUUAUACACACGGGUCUGUGUAAAUCUGGCUCCGUGCUCUUUGUUUCUGCAAGUGGAGCUGGAAGUGUUAAAACCAGUAGAUGUGA